RNAcentral lists this ribosomal RNA (347 nucleotides) under Mulsantina sp. CO460. RNAcentral describes it as "partial 12S ribosomal RNA". The record is from RNAcentral. Lineage: Eukaryota; Metazoa; Arthropoda; Insecta; Coleoptera; Coccinellidae.
UUUAAAUGUAAUUAUUUAAACUAAGUGAUUAAUAGUUAAGUUCUUUAAAGCUAAAUAAUUUGGCGGUAUUUUAUUCUUUUCAGAGGAACCUGUUCAGUAAUCGAUAAUCCACGAUUGAAUUAACUUAAAUUAGAAAUUUUUAUAUCGUUGUUAUUAAAUAUUUUAUAAGAACUUAAUAUUUAAAAAUUUUUUAAAAAAAUAAAUCAAAUCAAGGUGAAGUUUAUAUUUAAGAUGAGAUGGGUUACAUUUAAUUAAAUUAAUGAAUUUUUAAUUUUUAAAGUUUUAUGAAAUUGGAUUUGAAAGUAAUUAGUUAAACUUUUUUCUAAUGAUUAAGCGCUAAAAUAUGU